Molecule: small RNA, 561 nt
Filed under: Pan troglodytes (chimpanzee)
Lineage: Eukaryota; Metazoa; Chordata; Mammalia; Primates; Hominidae
Description: transcribed unitary pseudogene
Source: RNAcentral
AUGAUGCUGCUGUUGCUGUGUCUGGGGCUGACCCUCGUCUGUGCCGAGGAGGAAGAAAGCAAUAAUGCUGUGACAAGCAACUUUGAUCUGUCAAAGAUUUCAGGAGAGUGGUAUUCGGUUCUCUUGGCCUCUGACCGCAGGGAAAAGAUAGAAGAAGAUGGAAGCAUGAGGGUUUUUGUCAAACACACUGAUAACCUGGGGAACUCUUCUCUGACUUUUAAAUUGCAUGAAAUGUAAUGAAAAUGGAAACUGUACUGAAAUUAAUUUGACUUGUAAACCAACAGAAAAGAAUGCCAUAUGUAGUGCUGACUAAAUAACGGACACAAUGUCGUUGACAUACUUGAAACAGACUAUGAUAAUUAUAUUUUUUAUAACAAGAAUAUCAAGAAUGGGGAAACAUUCCUAAUGCUGGAGCUCUGUGCUCGAACACCAGAUGUGAGCUCACAACUCAAGGAGAGGUUUGUGAAAUAUUGUGAAGAACAUGGGAUUGAUAAGGAAAACAUAUUUGACUUGACCAAAGUUGAUCGCUGUCUCCAGGCCCGAGAUGGGGGAGCAGCCUAG